UCAACUGUGGAACUAUGCUGGAAACUGCAUGACUAGAGUCUGAUAGGGGAAGUUAGAAUUCCUGGUGUAAGGGUGGAAUCUGUUGAUAUCAGGAAGAAUACCAGAGGCGAAGGCGAACUUCUAGGUCAAGACUGACGCUGAGUCACGAAAGCGUAGGGAGCAAACAGGAUUAGAUACCCUGGUAGUCUACGCUGUAAACGAUGC
RNAcentral lists this ribosomal RNA (204 nucleotides) under Borrelia miyamotoi. RNAcentral describes it as "partial 16S ribosomal RNA". It matches the Rfam family "Bacterial small subunit ribosomal RNA", at positions 609 to 812 of the family's 1533-position model. The record is from RNAcentral. Lineage: Bacteria; Pseudomonadati; Spirochaetota; Spirochaetia; Spirochaetales; Borreliaceae.